Polyodon spathula (Mississippi paddlefish) is the source of this 1523-nucleotide long non-coding RNA. RefSeq lists it as uncharacterized. The record is from RefSeq and is a predicted model, not a curated record. NCBI's taxonomy places the organism in Eukaryota, Metazoa, Chordata, Actinopteri, Acipenseriformes, Polyodontidae. The transcript has 3 exons.
GCGCAAGUGCGCGUUAUUGCAGGGAAAGCGGCGGCGCUCUGCAGGGUCGGUUGGGUUUUUGCAUGCAGAAGAACAGAGACUCUGUUACUGUGAAAGCCUGCUGACGCAUUUACCGGGACACGGGAACGGCACUGUGUGCGUUUGAGAUUCAUCCGCUUGAAGAGGGGGUCACAGCGGUUCAAAGAGGGUGCUGUCUUGCUCUCCGAUAAAGCCCAGAGAUGCACGGUAAAGCAGAUUAAAACACGGCAAACCAGGGAUAAACCAUGGUAAAUACACAAUAGAACUACGGGAAAAAACAGAUUUGGGGGACGGGGGACGGGGACGGCAUCUUAAUCCAUUAAAAAAAAAGACGUUUUAUUUUCUACUGCAGAGCCCGCCUCUCCCACUAGGUGGCACUGCAGACAACAGUACAGCAGACAGAUCAGCCAAUAAAUCUAAGAGGAAGUUAGCACAGCUGCAGGGCCUCAUUAAUGCUGCUGUUUUUCAUUUUUUUUCUAUCCCUUGAUAGUUUUGUAGGAGUUUAUAUUCACUAGUCUACUGAAUGAAUACAAUGCCACAGACCCACCCUCGGGUAGCUGGCAGUGUAAAUAUUUCACAAGACUGCUAAUGUUUUGCUGUUGAUUGAGUCAAGGGUAGCCCAGUAUGGUGGAUUUGGAGGAAGGUAGUUGGAGGGCAUUGAAUCCACUGAGCCUAAAAACAAAGAAGAUGUUUUUUCAAAUCUUAAAAGGACUUGACAAACUAAGUUCACUCUAGCGCAAUACUAUUAGCGCAGCCAGAAGCCAGGACAGUGCGAAGGAGACAGUUCUUUACACAGAGCGUUGUGAGGGGAUGGAAUGGGUUACCUGGCCAUGCUGUUGAUGCCUGAGUUCCUGUCAGACCCAACUUGACACAGUUUUAGGAUCAAUCAGCUACUGGGAAUGCUGAUGGUGAUGAAUGCCCUCCUCUCGGUCCUAAAUGUUCCUACAGUGUGUUCACAGGUUGAGUAUAAGAACAUAACAGAAAUCUGUAACAUCAAAACAGGUUUGAUCCCUCCCUGUAAUUCAAACAAAGAAAAUAGCAGCGCACGCAAUGAUAACGUGGCAGCUAUUUUAUUCUGUGGUUGUAAAAAGAGCUGAACUUUGCCUGUUGUUCGCACAGUGAAGUAGUUCAGUGUUGAUCUUGGACGUGAGGACAGUGCGCUCUCUCUCUCUCACCUGACUGGGACGUGAACGCGGGAAUUCCUUCACCUCUCAGGACUCCACGCUGCUCCACUACCACGGGAGAACCUUUAAACGUGUUCAUUAAAUAAACCAAGACUCUUGCACAGCUGAGCCUCUGGAUUCUACAAAGCAGAGUUAGCAGCAGCUGAAUCAAGACGUUACACACCCCUUUUUCUGUGGGAAACACAGGCUGGGCCACGCCCCCUCCUGGUCAGUCAGAGACUCGCAGGCCGGACCUCGCCCCCUUCUGGUCAGUCAGAGACUCGCAGGCCGGACCUCGCCCCCUCCUGGUCAGUCAGAGACUCGCAGGCCGGACCACGCCCC